RNAcentral lists this ribosomal RNA (590 nucleotides) under uncultured bacterium. Its description in RNAcentral is "bacterial SSU rRNA". It matches the Rfam family "Bacterial small subunit ribosomal RNA", at positions 336 to 916 of the family's 1533-position model. The record is from RNAcentral.
CUCCUACGGGAGGCAGCAGUCGGGAAUCUUGCACAAUGGGCGAAAGCCUGAUGCAGCAACGCCGCGUGAGGGAUGAAGGCCCUCGGGUCGUAAACCUCUGUCGGAAGGGAAGAAAGUAUUCCGGGCCAAUACCCCGGAGUAUCGACGGUACCUUCAAAGGAAGCGCCGGCUAACUCCGUGCCAGCAGCCGCGGUAAUACGGAGGGCGCGAGCGUUAUUCGGAAUCAUUGGGCGUAAAGCGCGUGUAGGCGGCUGGGUAAGUCGGAUGUGAAAGCCCGGGGCUCAACCCCGGAAUUGCAUUCGAAACUGCCCAGCUAGAGUCUCGGAGAGGAGGGCGGAAUUCCCGGUGUAGAGGUGAAAUUCGUAGAUAUCGGGAGGAACACCAGUGGCGAAGGCGGCCCUCUGGACGAUGACUGACGCUGAGACGCGAAAGCGUGGGGAGCAAACAGGAUUAGAUACCCUGGUAGUCCACGCCGUAAACGUUGGGUGCUAGGUGUCGCGGGUAUUGACCCCUGCGGUGCCGUCGUUAACGCAUUUAGCACCCCGCCUGGGGAGUACGGCCGCAAGGCUAAAACUCAAAGGAAUUGACGG